Molecule: unclassified non-coding RNA, 354 nt
Filed under: soil metagenome
Description: partial contains 5.8S ribosomal RNA, internal transcribed spacer 2, and large subunit ribosomal RNA
Rfam family: 5.8S ribosomal RNA (bases 1-120)
Source: RNAcentral
GAUGAAGAACGUAGCGAAAUGCGAUAAGUAAUGUGAAUUGCAGAAUUCAGUGAAUCAUCGAAUCUUUGAACGCACAUUGCGCCCAUUAGUAUUCUAGUGGGCAUGCCUGUUCGAGCGUCAUUAAGUCCACUUAAGCCCUGCUUAGUGUUGGGAGACUGCUCCAGCGGUGCUACCCUGUAGCUACCCUGCAGCUCCUCAAAGACAGCGGCGGAGUUGUGGUAUCCUCUGAGCUUAGUAACUUGUUCUAGCUUUCGAGUACACCACUUCCCCUGCCGUAAAACCCUUAAUUUUUAAUGGUUGACCUCGGAUCAGGUAGGAAUACCCGCUGAACUUAAGCAUAUCAAUAAGCGGAGG